AACGCGUGAGGAACCUGCCUCAAAGAGGGGGACAACAGUUGGAAACGACUGCUAAUACCGCAUAAGCCCACAGGUCGGCAUCGACCGGAGGGAAAAGGAGCAAUCCGCUUUGAGAUGGCCUCGCGUCCGAUUAGCUAGUUGGUGAGGUAACGGCCCACCAAGGCAACGAUCGGUAGCCGGACUGAGAGGUUGAACGGCCACAUUGGGACUGAGACACGGCCCAGACUCCUACGGGAGGCAGCAGUGGGGAAUAUUGCACAAUGGGGGAAACCCUGAUGCAGCGACGCCGCGUGGAGGAAGAAGGUCUUCGGAUUGUAAACUCCUGUUGUUGAGGAAGAUAAUGACGGUACUCAACAAGGAAGUGACGGCUAACUACGUGCCAGCAGCCGCGGUAAAACGUAGGUCACAAGCGUUGUCCGGAAUUACUGGGUGUAAAGGGAGCGCAGGCGGGAAGACAAGUUGGAAGUGAAAUCUAUGGGCUCAACCCAUAAACUGCUUUCAAAACUGUUUUUCUUGAGUAGUGCAGAGGUAGGCGGAAUUCCCGGUGUAGCGGUGGAAUGCGUANAUAUCGGGAGGAACACCAGUGGCGAAGGCGGCCUACUGGGCACCAACUGACGCUGAGGCUCGAAAGUGUGGGUAGCAAACAGGAUUAGAUACCCCGGUAGUCCACACCGUAAACGAUGAUUACUAGGUGU
Molecule: ribosomal RNA, 695 nt
Filed under: uncultured bacterium
Lineage: Bacteria
Description: bacterial SSU rRNA
Rfam family: Bacterial small subunit ribosomal RNA
Source: RNAcentral